GGUAGCUCAACGGCAGAGCCCUCGACUGUUAAUCGAGUUGUUGUAGGUUCGAAUCCUACCC
Molecule: transfer RNA, 61 nt
Filed under: human gut metagenome
Also listed under: 2 other names
Rfam family: tRNA
About the family: Transfer RNA (tRNA) molecules are approximately 80 nucleotides in length. Their secondary structure includes four short double-helical elements and three loops (D, anti-codon, and T loops).
Source: RNAcentral